Molecule: long non-coding RNA, 407 nt
Filed under: Calidris pugnax (ruff)
Lineage: Eukaryota; Metazoa; Chordata; Aves; Charadriiformes; Scolopacidae
Description: lncRNA (ENSCPUG00000003686.1)
Source: RNAcentral
AUCUGUGGAUCUUGCCUUUGGUGAUUAAAUAGGGGGCUGGAUGCCUGAGGAAAUUGGCCCAAGUGAAAAGGCAUCUUGAAAAUAUUUUGCUUCAAAAGAGCUUGUGUGUGCUAUUUAAAACUAACUUCUAACAUGAGGUUUCGCAGGGUAUGUUCGCACCAGCUGAAACAGAAGCAUUUAGAAAGUUUCCAGAGAAGUCUGUGAAAAAGGAAGCUUGAGUGCAUUUUAUCAGGGCUGCGUCUGGAUCCUUUCUUCUUCUCUGAGUGUGAGGAGCUUCAUGAUUCAUCAAGGCGAGCUCCAUCGACGGAUGGGGAAUAAGCACCCUGCACCUCCUGCCAUCCAGGUCUAUAUUGAUUGUAAAUUUUGAGGGGAAUCAACACCAAUUACUGAGGGUGAGUUAUUAAACU